CCUANGGGAGGCAGCAGCAACGAAUAUUCCGCAAUGGACGAAAGUCUGACGGAGCGACGCCGCGUGCGGGAAUAAGCCCUUCGGGGUGUAAACCGCUGUCAGGGAUCACCAAGCAAAGGGGACGAAUAGUCCUCUGCGUUGAGGAGUCCCGGAGGAAGCCACGGCUAACUUCGUGCCAGCAGCCGCGGUAAUACGAAGGUGGCUAGCGUUGUUCGGAAUCACUGGGCUUAAAGAGCACGUAGGCGGCCUGUCAAGCGUCUUGUGAAAUCCCUCGGCUCAACCGAGGAAUGGCUGGGCGAACUGGCAGGCUUGAGGUAGGUAGGGGCGCACGGAACUCUUGGUGGAGCGGUGGAAUGCGUAGAUAUCAAGAGGAACGCCGGUGGCGAAGGCGGUGCGCUGGGCCUAUCCUGACGCUCAGGUGCGAAAGCCAGGGGAGCAAACGGGAUUAGAUACCCCGNUANUC
RNAcentral lists this ribosomal RNA (463 nucleotides) under uncultured bacterium. RNAcentral describes it as "bacterial SSU rRNA". It matches the Rfam family "Bacterial small subunit ribosomal RNA", at positions 338 to 795 of the family's 1533-position model. The record is from RNAcentral.